RNAcentral lists this ribosomal RNA (253 nucleotides) under uncultured bacterium. RNAcentral's name for it is "partial 16S ribosomal RNA". It matches the Rfam family "Bacterial small subunit ribosomal RNA", at positions 524 to 776 of the family's 1533-position model. The record is from RNAcentral.
UACGAAGGGGGCUAGCGUUGUUCGGAAUUACUGGGCGUAAAGCGCGCGCAGGCGGCUAUCCAAGUCAGUGGUGAAAGCCCGGAGCUCAACUCCGGAACUGCCAUUGAAACUGUUUAGCUUGAGGAUGAGAGAGGUGAGUGGAAUUCCCAGUGUAGAGGUAAAAUUCGUAGAUAUUGGGAAGAACACCGGUGGCGAAGGCGGCUCACUGGCUCAUUACUGACGCUCAGGCGCGAUAGCGUGGGGAUCAAACAGG